UACGGAGGGUGCAAGCGUUAUCCGGAAUCACUGGGUUUAAAGGGUGCGUAGGCGGCUUGAUAAGUCAGAGUUGAAAGCUCACUGCUCAACAGUGCAAUUGCCUUUGAUACUGUCAGACUAGAAUCGGCACGAGGCAGGCGGAAUGUACCAUGUAGCGUGAAAUGCUUAGAUAUGUCAUAGAACACCAAUUGCGAAGGCAGCUUGCCAGAGUCGCAUUGACGCUGAGGCACGAAAGCGUGGGGAGCGAACAGG
Molecule: ribosomal RNA, 252 nt
Filed under: uncultured bacterium
Lineage: Bacteria
Description: partial 16S ribosomal RNA
Rfam family: Bacterial small subunit ribosomal RNA
Source: RNAcentral